GCUGAAGAACGCAGCGAAAUGCGAUAAGUAGUGUGAAUUGCAGAAUUCAGUGAAUCAUCGAAUCUUUGAACGCACAUUGCGCCCCUUGGUAUUCCAUGGGGCAUGCCUGUUCGAGCGUCAUUUGUACCUUCAAGCUCUGCUUGGUGUUGGGUGUUUGUCUCGCCUCUGCGUGUAGACUCGCCUCAAAACAAUUGGCAGCCGGCGUAUUGAUUUCGGAGCGCAGUACAUCUCGCGCUUUGCACUCAUAACGACGACGUCCAAAAGUACAUUUUUACACUCUUGACCUCGGAUCAGGUAGGGAUACCCGCUGAACUUAAGCAUAUCAAUAAGCGGAGGA
This 337-nucleotide unclassified non-coding RNA is filed under the name soil metagenome. RNAcentral describes it as "partial contains 5.8S ribosomal RNA, internal transcribed spacer 2, and large subunit ribosomal RNA". The stretch from base 3 to 120 matches the Rfam family "5.8S ribosomal RNA", at positions 37 to 154 of the family's 154-position model. The record is from RNAcentral.